This is a long non-coding RNA of Lingula anatina, 495 nucleotides long. The record is from RefSeq and is a predicted model, not a curated record. NCBI's taxonomy places the organism in Eukaryota, Metazoa, Brachiopoda, Lingulata, Lingulida, Lingulidae.
GAAAUCUCCAGGGAAAAGAUGAAGACGUUUUUAAUUGUUGCCUUGUGUCUGAGCUUGCUGUUUGUGGCAGCCAACGCAAAGCCACCUUUCUGUGGCAAAAAUGCGGUAUGCGUAAGGUUUGAACCCAACUUGCAGGUUCGAUAUGAUGGCUCCUGUAAACUACCAAUGUGGCAAUGUUUGUGCCUGCCAUACUACUAUGGUGAUCCGUACGACGAAUGUUAUACGGAGACUCCGUGAGACAAGAUAAAAGAGAGACGGAAAGCUGUUUUAAUGUGACACGGAAUUAACCACAAAUACUAUAGCUUUAUUAGGACAGACGGCGGAAUAUAAAAAGAGCAUGGUGAUUUAUUAUUGGCUUAAAGUUUCUGUGAAACCCCAAUGCAAUAGCCAUUUAGAAAAAUUCGCAAGUUGUACUAUUAUUAGUUCGUCAUAUGUGUGAAUUUUGUCCUUAUUGGGGACUGAAAGAAGUAUAAUAAGUAAUAAAAUGUUCUCUAA